This 867-nucleotide ribosomal RNA is filed under the name uncultured marine bacterium. RNAcentral's name for it is "bacterial SSU rRNA". It matches the Rfam family "Bacterial small subunit ribosomal RNA", at positions 37 to 916 of the family's 1533-position model. The record is from RNAcentral.
CCGUGGAGCGUGCUUAACACAUGCAAGUCGAACGAUGAAGCCCAGCUUGCUGGGUGGAUUAGUGGCGAACGGGUGAGUAACACGUGGGUGAUCUGCCCUGCACUUCGGGAUAAGCCUGGGAAACUGGGUCUAAUACCGGAUAGGACCUCGGGAUGCAUGUUCCGGGGUGGAAAGGUUUUCCGGUGCAGGAUGGGCCCGCGGCCUAUCAGCUUGUUGGUGGGGUAACGGCCCACCAAGGCGACGACGGGUAGCCGGCCUGAGAGGGCGACCGGCCACACUGGGACUGAGACACGGCCCAGACUCCUACGGGAGGCAGCAGUGGGGAAUAUUGCACAAUGGGCGCAAGCCUGAUGCAGCGACGCCGCGUGAGGGAUGACGGCCUUCGGGUUGUAAACCUCUUUCAGUACCGACGAAGCGCAAGUGACGGUAGGUACAGAAGAAGCACCGGCCAACUACGUGCCAGCAGCCGCGGUAAUACGUAGGGUGCGAGCGUUGUCCGGAAUUACUGGGCGUAAAGAGCUCGUAGGCGGUUUGUCGCGUCGUCUGUGAAAACCCGCAGCUCAACUGCGGGCUUGCAGGCGAUACGGGCAGACUUGAGUACUGCAGGGGAGACUGGAAUUCCUGGUGUAGCGGUGAAAUGCACAGAUAUCAGGAGGAACACCGGUGGCGAAGGCGGGUCUCUGGGCAGUAACUGACGCUGAGGAGCGAAAGCGUGGGUAGCGAACAGGAUUAGAUACCCUGGUAGUCCACGCCGUAACGGUGGGCGCUAGGUGUGGGUUUCCUUUCCACGGAUCCGUGCCGUAGCUAACGCAUUAAGCGCCCCCGCCUGGGGAGUACGGCCGCAAGCUAAAACUCAAGGAUUGACGG